This 4192-nucleotide unclassified non-coding RNA is filed under the name Harpegnathos saltator (Jerdon's jumping ant). RNAcentral's name for it is "fanconi anemia group M protein, transcript variant X2". Lineage: Eukaryota; Metazoa; Arthropoda; Insecta; Hymenoptera; Formicidae. The record is from RNAcentral.
AUGGAAUUAUCAAUGCAAAUUACUCAAACUUCAAAGGAUCCAGAGACGAAAGGGUUUGAUUUGUCAGCUGGAAAUACUUGGGUUUAUCCGGAGAAUUAUCCAGUUCGCAAAUAUCAAUAUAAUAUAGUUGAGACUGCUUUAUAUCACAAUACUUUAGUUUGUUUACCUACUGGUUUGGGAAAGACAUUUAUUGCUGCUGUUAUAAUGUACAAUUUCUGGAGAUGGUUUCCAUUUGGAAAGAUUGUAUUUCUUGCACCGACAAAACCUUUGGUUGGUCAACAGAUUGAUGCAUGUUAUGAAAUAAUGGGAAUACCAAGUGUUGAUAUGAUAAAACUUACAGGUGCAGUUAAUCAGAAAAACCGUCAAAUAUAUUGGUUCAAAAAGAGAAUAAUAUUUGCUACUCCUCAAGUAUUUCACAAAGAUCUUGAAAAAUCAAUUGUACCCAGCCAUUUAGUUAAAUGUGUUGUUGUGGACGAGGCUCAUAAAGCUUUAGGGAAACAUUCAUAUUGUGAGAGUAUCAGAAUAUUAUCCACACAGAAUAAAUAUUUUAGGAUAUUGGCACUUUCUGCUACACCUGGAAAUAAAAUAGAUAAUGUUCAUGAGGUAAUACAAAAUUUAUAUAUCUCUCAUUUGGAAUUGAGAGAUGAAGAUUCAAUAGAUAUAAUACCAUAUGUUAAUAAGAGAAAAAUUGAUACUAUCUUGAUACCUCUCAGUAAUGAAUUGGCUCAGUUCAAAGAAAGAUAUAUUAUUAUUAUGGAUCGUCAUGUGAAGUUUCUUAUACAAUAUAACGUACUGCGAGGACAUACUGCAAACAUAUCAAAAGGAAGAAUAUUUCACUUGCUAAAUGAAUUCAAAGAAAGGACAAACAAAUCCGGAAAUUAUGGACAAAUUAUGAAAACUUUGAAUAUAUUAUUAACUAUGUAUCAUGCUUAUGAUCUUAUGAUUAGACAUGGAUUGCGAGCCUUUUGCAAAUUUUAUCAAAAUCAUUCUGAUAAAUUCUGGAUGAAUAAUGAAAAUCAGUUAAGACAACUACUUUAUGACAUAGAAACUUAUCUUGGGCCAUUUCCAGAUAUUCUUCCCAAUGGUCAUGUAUCUGAGAUGCCAACGAACAUUAUGUUUGGACAUAAUAAAUUUUAUAAAUUGAAAGAGUUACUUGAACGCCAUUUUAGAAAGAAUAAUGGCGAAAAUGCGGACACAAGAGCUAUAGUCUUUGUAGAAUAUAGGGAUAUAGUCAAUGAAGUCUACAUUUUGCUUCUACAAUCGAAACCAUUAAUUAGGCCGCAAAUGUUUGUCGGUCAAGCUAGUCAGAAACAGAAGCAGCAAAUAAAAGCAUUGGAAGAUUUUAGAAAUAAUCACGUGAAUGUGUUGAUUUCAACAAGUAUAGGUGAAGAAGGAUUGGAUGUUGGUGAAGUAGACCUAAUAAUAUGCUUUGAUGUAUCACAACAUUCUCCAACCCGGUUAGUUCAAAGAAUGGGAAGGACGGGACGCAAACGAGAUGGUCACAUAAUUAUUCUUGUUACAGACGGAAAAGAGUACGAGAAUCUGAAAUCCACACUCUCUAAGAGGAAUUCCAUAAACAAUAAGAUAUUAAAUACAAGCAAUAUAUUUUCCUCCUUAUAUCAAAGCAAUCCUAGAAUGAUACCGAAUCAAUUCACUCCAGAAUGUCACAUGAUGCAUAUUACUCCAGUACAGAAGACACCAAAUGUUAGUAGUAAAAGGAAAAAGAAAAGAGUCAACAAGGAAAACGAAGCAUCUAGCAUAAAACAAAAAGAGACAACAUCAAAUAAUGCAGGUGAAUCAUUAAUGAUGAAAUUUCUUACCAAUAAUAAAUAUGAGCAAAAGCAAAACGGUGCGUGUAAUAUCUACACAUUAACAACACAGAGUGGUAAUGUACAUAAUACAAUAGAUCCCAACCACGUCAAACUUUUAUCCGAUGAUAACGCAGGAAUCGAUUUCAUGACGUUAUGUGCAGUUAAAAAAUCAGAGGAAGAAAUAUCUUCCGAAAUUGUGCGUAAAAUGGAUACAACCUACAUUCCUGCAGCAAAACCAGUUAAAGAUCCAUUCAACUUUGUAAUACCUGAUAUACAAAUUCUCGAUUCUUUACCUCUCUUAAUAACAAAUUUAAUUAAUCAUCUACCAAAGACAGAGGAAAACCGUGAAAACGAAAAUAUUCAGAAUGAUAAUAAUCACAUUAGUAUCGACGAUGAUAACUUCUGGUGCACUAUUCCAAACAAGAGAAACAUUGAUACCGAUGAAGUAAGAUUCGAGGACAUACUGGAUGAUAGUUCCGACUCAAAUAUAACCAUAGUUUCAUUCGUGAGUCGAGCAAUUGAUGAAAUUGAGAUAGAUUCAGUUGAUACAAGUAAAGUUCUUUCAUCUAGUAUAAAAGAUAACAAUGACAUUGUGAUUGAUCGUGCAAAAACAGAACUAUCGGAUGAUAUACUCAAUAAAAUGGAACCCGGUAUGUUUGAAAAUAUUUUAGAUGACUCGUUUAGUUCAACUGAUGAUGAUUUAGAAACUAAAGAUACAGCGCACCCAAAUAUAGUAUCUUCAAACUUUUCAAACACCUCUGAUAAAAAUACAGAUGAUAUCAAUGCAGCUUCUGAAAGUAUUGCUGAUAUUUUUCUGGACGACACGAACGCUGAUGAAUUUAAUCAAAGCUUAUUGGCACCUGCGAAAUCAGUGGAACUCGAUCAAGCAAAUAAACCGACAGAAAACUAUAUAGAUGAUAUAGACGAAAUAGAUCUUAUUUUCAGUGAUGAUGAUAUCAUGGCUGAAUUUACAUCUGAUAAAUUUAAUAAGAGUAAAUCAAUACAUAAUUCAAAACCGGAAGAGAGCUUCUUAUCCAUAACUCAAGCUAUCGAAGAAAUAGCAAGGAUAAAAAAAAAUGUAGAGAAAUCGCCGGAACUUUGCGUAAGUAAAAGAGAUAGUAGUCCCGAAUGGAUUUCAACUGAUAACAAGCGUCAAGCUAGAAUCGAAAAAAGAAACACACGUUCGGGAUUAAAGGAUAAACUGUCUCAUAUCAAUUUCAACUCUAUCACAAAGUCAUACAACGCGAAACGGCACUUGGACUUUCAAGAUUCCGAUGAAGACUUCAUGAUCACAGAGGAUAACGUAAAGAAAUUCGACGAACUUGAAAGCAGUUAUUUUUGCCGUACAUCGAAAACUUCGAAGAACGGAAGUAAUCAUUUGCACAAGACGAACAACUUGGUAAACAAUAAAAACUACUUCGGUGAUACAUCGAAGAGCUUUGCAGCUGGAAAUAGCAACUUUUACAGCACGUCGAAAGAAGCAAAACUGCUCGGUAACCCGACAUUAGUCGAUAACAAGCGUUCCAUGUUAUCUCUGAAAAGAAGCAAAAAUCCGUGUUCGAGCACGAUAGAUCUGAGUGCUUUUAAAGCGCCUAGCAAAUGCAUUAACAGCAGACAAGAACAGAAUGCUUUGGGAUCCGACAUUAGUACAUCGAAGCAAAUAUCCUGCCUGAAUAGAGAAAUUACGCGGAAAAUCAGCUUUAAGCAUGAGAGGAAAAGACAGAAAAAUGAAUUUAUAGACGACGAGGCGCAGGCGAGUUCUAACGACAGUACUUCGGACGAAAGUACUUCCACGAUAGACGAGGAACUGCGAGAUUUUGUAAGCUACACUCAAAAUGUAGAGAAUCAAGUGGAUAUGGAGGCGCAUUAUUUGCAAACUGUUAAGAGUCCGAUCAGAAGACCCGGUGCAUUCCAUUUCAAGAAGCCGCGAUUACCUGAUCCAAAUGUGGAGAUCUAUUCGCAGUCUUUGUCACAAGUGCAUGACUCGUAUCUUUAUGAUUCGUUCUGCGUAAGAGAAGACGCUGAGGAAACGAGUGUAUUUCAUAACGAGUCGAUAUUGGAAGUAGCCGAGAGGAAAUUGGAAUGCAAUAAACGCAAGCGUCUCCAUUUGAAUAAGGAUAGUGCGAAGCAAAUUAACAAAAGGAAAAAUAUGAACAUCUUGAACAAGUCCGUAAGCAGCGAGGACGAGAUUGAACAACUACGUAUAGAAGUGCAAGAAGACUGAUUUCCGGUGUUGUGAGUUAACGAAAUUGUAUUGAACUAUGGUCCUUUUUGAUGAUAUAAUUAUGAUAUAAAAGGACGAAAGGGCCAAUAAUAGAUGCUCUAGUAGACCAAAAUGCUCCCAAUCCUAUCUGAUUUUGUUUAUGGCUAGGCACAAGCAG